GUCUAUACAGGAGCAGUUACUUAAUAUUUAAAUGAGGCUGUCUCCUUAUAAAAAAAGAAGCUCAGAGUCUUGGUGACAUGUGUCCUGGGGCUAUCCUUUAAGAUAUGAGCUGUAGUGCAACGAGGAAGAUGAUGAUGGUGAAACGGUUUAACAUACCCUAACCCUAAGGUAAGUGAGCGCUCAAUAUUUGGUCAUGUAUUGUAUUGUAUUUGAAGUCCCCCAAAAAAUAAAAAUAAAUAACAGCAGGGCUAUUCAUAAAAGUGUAAAUUGCAGGAAUUCUAAAUGAUUUCAAAGUGAAUUUUAAAUUUGAAGCUAAAAGCAUAGCUGACGGUUUCACUUUGUACUAAGUUUCCCAAAACUUUUUUAUUUAGUUUUUUUAAUAGCUAUCCACCUUAAUGCUAUCUAAAUUCAAAUCAAAUAAUUUAGCUUCAACAUGUGAAAUGUGCUAUUCAUUCUGUCUGCUUGUCAGUUACAGGUGCCUAUGUUUUACAGUAAACUAUUUUGCUUUUGAAAUAUUAUUUUAUUUUUAAUGUCUCAGAUGGGAAAUGAGACCUUUUUUUAGGUUAUGCACAAAAGUGAGGGUUGUUGAGAAUUCAAAGGGAAUUUUAAAUUUAAGGCCACAGUGGCUGAAGUCAGUUAUGCUUCCAACUGAAUACCCUGUGUGUGUUUACUUAAGCAAUGUGGUUUGUUAAAACAGUGGAUUGUGCUGAACUGAAGUUGAAAUUUGCUGAAUUGUAGGACAAAAUGAUUGUAACAAUAUUCCAGCUCGUUAUUUUGACCUUAAUUUAGCAACUUCAAAUUGCCUUUCACUUUAUACCACUAAGGGUUCCUCUGGCAGUGGCAGAUUGUACACUUGCCUGUUUGUAGUGAUGAGUAAUUUGUGUUACUUUAUUUAUAACACAGAACUUAAAGGGUCAGUGUCGUGUGUGAAUCUUGUGUACAUAUAUAUUUUUAUUUAUAAAUAUUAUAAGUCUUACAUUUUAAAGAAACACUCUGUGUGACAUAACCACAGCUCUUCCCAGUUACAUGAUGAUAAAUAAUUAACUUGACAUUAUCUCCCCCAAGGCUAUAAUUAAUCGUGUGGUUAAGACCUGAUAGUAAAAAUAGUAAGAAUCAGACUGUGCCGAUAUCUCCCAUUGUUUUAUGCCCGCUUGAUAUUAUUGUGUCUGGUAUCUUGGUUUAAUCAUGGAUAUAACAAAAUAUCAGCUUGGUUGCAGCUUUCAAGUUAUGCACUCCUGACACUACAUAAAUAUGAAAUACUGAUGUUAAAUCUAUGUAAGCCGAUCCUGGCUGGGAACGGUUGUUCCCCAUGGUGGUCAUAGGAAAUAGCUGUAGAAGUUUGUGUAAUAUGAUAAACAUUUCUCUUUACAUAUUUAUUUGCAGGGGGCCUGCUCCAAAUGGUGAAUUCAACAGCAGUUUAAAUCAGCUGUGUCUCCUUCUGCCUUUGGUGCUAUGUGUGGGAUAUCAUCAUAUACUGUAAGUUUGUUAUAAGACACUACAGUAUAGAUGAUGUACUAUACCAAACCUCACGAACACCGGAUACUGUAAGAGCUCGAGCUACGGGAAGGCCUACUCUACUUUCUUCCCUUGACACAUCGGAACCCUAAGUAAUCAGUAUUUGUGUAGGCUUAUUUCCCACACCCCCGAGUCCCUUUUGUCUUUCUAGGAACACAGGAGAAAAAAAAAAGUAUAUAUAUUUUGUUAGACUGUUACAAUGUACAAUAAGCAAUCAUUUCUAGACAAUUGUCUGUUAGAUGUAAUAGUUUUUUCAUUUGCAGAUGUCUUAUAAAUAUUUCCAAAUGGUCAAAUACUAAGAAUAUAUUGUCUUAUGGUCAGUCAGUCACAUUAUCACCCUAGCUGGGUGCAAUGCCCUGUAUCAAGAGGUCAAUUAAAAGUUUGCUCACGGGGAAACGUGGGUAUGUUUGAGGAGCCUCUCUAUAGGCCGCAGCAAUCAGGUAUUCCUGUUUGUGUUGAAUUAAAGGGUUGGUUGGGCAGUGGUUCUGGUAAAAUUGUGAGAAACUGCUCUCUUUUUUAAUUAAAUUAUUUUGAUGAAGGUGUGUAGGUCAUGAAGAUAAAAGUAUACUGACAUAGCUAAUAUAAAAACAUACUGUUCUUCCCAGCAGCGGAGCUACGCCGAUGAUUGUGGAGUGUCGGUUAAACCGUUACCAUUACUGAGUUUAGUAAUGGUAAGGGUUCUACUGCUGCUCCUCUAUUCACCUUGAAGAUCGCCAGAAGAAACCAGGACAAAAAUGUAUGACUGCAUGCAAAAAAUGUUUUGUUUUUUCAUUCCUCUUUAGCAGAUAUUAACUUAAUAAAAACACUUGUAUCCAAUAAAAUCUAAUCUUAUAAAGUUUGUGUUUUCGGUUUGUUUGCCCACGGACAACUGUAUCUAAGCAAUCAGGGUUGGAAUUUUACAUUUUGAUAUGUGCACAAAGUGCCUAAAGC
Pelobates cultripes (western spadefoot toad) is the source of this 2445-nucleotide non-coding RNA. The record is from the annotation of a GenBank genome assembly. NCBI's taxonomy places the organism in Eukaryota, Metazoa, Chordata, Amphibia, Anura, Pelobatidae.